GCUUCUCAGGCUGACUGAUUGGUGGGGCCAUAUUUUCCCAAAAUGGCCACCUCCAGAGAAAGGCACUGCUGCUGAAUAUUCCCCAGAGCUUUGCUUUCAAUGUCCAUUCCUCACAAUAAGCCACAUUCAUCCCUUUUUUCCCAGGAUGUCCUCCAAGAACUGCAGUCAGGUUUGACCCAGAUUCCUAUGGAGACCUCACUCUGCCCUGGGACUCAGUGCAUGUGAAAGUCUGUGUGCGCCUUUUAAGAAUGGGGUCUCCGUUUCCCCCAGUCCUGUGGAUCUCCUGUGCACAAGCCCCACUGGCCUUCAAUGCCAAAUGCUCCAGGGGCUCUUUCUCCCAAUGCCAGGUCCCCGCACGCGAGGGUUUGAUGUGGGGCUCAGAACUCUCACUCCUGUAGGUGAGUUUCUGUGAACCAGUUAGUUUUCAGUCUGUGGAGCUUCCCACCCAAGAGGUGUGGGGUUGUUUAUAUCACGAAAUCACCCCUCCAACCUCUUGAAGGGGCCUCCUCUUUUUCUUCUGGAGUAGGGUAUCUUUUUUAAGGUUUCCAGUCCAUUUGGGUGGAGAUUGCUCAGGCUUUAGUUGUAGAUUUUUUUGUUUUUUAGGAGAAAAGUUGAGCUCCAGUCCUUCUAUUCCACCAUCUUCCAGUCCUAACAUUUUAAAGGGAUUUUUGGUAUCCUGUGAAGAGUAGCUUCUAUUAAAGUAGAAUUCUGGACAGAAACAGUAACAAAGAUGUUUCAUUCAAAGGAAAGGAAAGGAGAUUGUAAUUUUAAUCUUAAGACUAUUUUUCCACUUUAAGAAAUACCAUUUAGGGAGUUCCCAUCGUGGCUCAGUUGUAAUGAACCUGACUAGGAUCCAUAAUAACACUGGUUUGAUCCCUGGCCUCGCUCAGUGGUUUAAGGAUCUGGUGUUGCCAUGAGCUGUGGUGUAGGUCACAGUCUCAGCUUGGACGUGCCAUUGCUGUGGAGAUUUGGAGGAUAUCUACUACCUUUCACAGUGCUUGUAGGGGAAGAUUGGGCAUUGAAGCCUUUUAUCAUUCACAUUGAAACGUGUUCCAAUUGAACUUUAAUGUUAAUGUCCUAAAUGUUGGUCACCUAUUGUCCAGAGAGUAUUUUGAAAUUGAUAACUGUUUGCCAUGGACAGACUUGAGGAUAGUCCGGUAAGAGAUGAGGAGGAGAACCUAAAGAGAAGGGAGAAAAGAGAGAAAUUAUAAAGUAAAAUCCAUUGAAUUUUGUAAUUUUCUAAGUGAAAGGAACCUGUGCUUCUGGCUUUGCUGAAUGGGUGGAUGGUUGUGUGUGGUGGUGAGUUACAGAACAGUGGAGGGAGUGUUGCUGGCUGGAGAAUCAGGGAUGAUGAAAAUGUUAAAGAUACAUAUAGAGGUAGGAUCUAAGUGGAUUUUUUGGCAUAGAAAUCUAAAGUUUUAGAGGGAGAGUGAUCAUAAAGAUACAUUUUGGGAUCUUGGUGAUAGAUAGUAAUUGAAGAUCUGGGAGUAAAUCAGAUCCUCUAGGAAAACGUGUCAGGUACAGAAGGAAGAGGUUAAAGCCCUAACUGAACAAAGUGCUUUUUUGUUUUGUUUUGUUUGAUGGUUGUUUAUUGACUCGCUCUAAGAGUAUCAAUAGUGAAUUUUCAGAUAGCUUUAGUGCAUCAUAACAUAAUUAAUAUAAAUUCUCCAGCGUGGAGGUCCCAUUGUUGCUCAGCAGUAACAAACCCAACUAGUAUCCAUGAGGUUGCACAUUUGAUCCCUGGCCUCGCUCAGUGGGUUAAGGAUCCAGCCUUGCCAUGAGCUGUGGUAUAGGUCACAGAUGUGGCUCAGAUCCCACAUUGUUGUGGCAGUGGUGUAGGCUGGCAGCUGCAGCUCCCAUUUGACCCCUAGCCUGGGAACUUCUGUAUGCCACACAUACAGCCCU
Molecule: long non-coding RNA, 1905 nt
Filed under: Sus scrofa (pig)
Lineage: Eukaryota; Metazoa; Chordata; Mammalia; Artiodactyla; Suidae
Description: lncRNA (ENSSSCG00030074740.1)
Source: RNAcentral